AACGCUGGCGGCGCGCCUAACACAUGCAAGUCGAACGAAGUCAAGAGGAGCUUGCUCUUUUUGACUUAGUGGCGAACGGGUGAGUAACGCGUGAGGAACCUGCCUCAAAGAGGGGGACAACAGUUGGAAACGACUGCUAAUACCGCAUAAGCCCACAGCUCCGCAUGGAGCAGAGGGAAAAGGAGCAAUCCGCUUUGAGAUGGCCUCGCGUCCGAUUAGCUAGUUGGUGAGGUAACGGCCCACCAAGGCGACGAUCGGUAGCCGGACUGAGAGGUUGAUCGGCCACAUUGGGACUGAGACACGGCCCAGACUCCUACGGGAGGCAGCAGUGGGGAAUAUUGCACAAUGGGGGAAACCCUGAUGCAGCGACGCCGCGUGGAGGAAGAAGGUCUUCGGAUUGUAAACUCCUGUUGUUGGGGAAGAUAAUGACGGUACCCAACAAGGAAGUGACGGCUAACUACGUGCCAGCAGCCGCGGUAAAACGUAGGUCACAAGCGUUGUCCGGAAUUACUGGGUGUAAAGGGAGCGCAGGCGGUAAGACAAGUUGGAAGUGAAAUCUAUGGGCUCAACCCAUAAACUGCUUUCAAAACUGUUUUUCUUGAGUAGUGCAGAGGUAGGCGGAAUUCCCGGUGUAGCGGUGGAAUGCGUAGAUAUCUAGGAGGAACACCAGUGGCGAAGGCGGCCUACUGGGCACCAACUGACGCUGAGGCUCGAAAGUGUGGGUAGCAAACAGGAUUAGA
RNAcentral lists this ribosomal RNA (740 nucleotides) under uncultured organism. RNAcentral describes it as "SSU rRNA". It matches the Rfam family "Bacterial small subunit ribosomal RNA", at positions 32 to 782 of the family's 1533-position model. The record is from RNAcentral.